This 253-nucleotide ribosomal RNA is filed under the name uncultured bacterium. RNAcentral describes it as "partial 16S ribosomal RNA". It matches the Rfam family "Bacterial small subunit ribosomal RNA", at positions 524 to 776 of the family's 1533-position model. The record is from RNAcentral.
UACGGAGGGGACUAGCGUUGUUCGGAAUUACUGGGCGUAAAGCGCACGUAGGCGGCUUGUUUAGUCAGGGGUGAAAUCCCGAGGCUCAACCUCGGAACUGCCUUUGAUACUGGCAAUCUCGAGUCCGGAAGAGGUGAGUGGAAUUCCUAGUGUAGAGGUGAAAUUCGUAGAUAUUAGGAAGAACACCAGUGGCGAAGGCGGCUCACUGGUCCGGUACUGACGCUGAGACGCGAAAGCGUGGGGAGCGAACAGG